RNAcentral lists this ribosomal RNA (496 nucleotides) under uncultured bacterium. RNAcentral describes it as "bacterial SSU rRNA". It matches the Rfam family "Bacterial small subunit ribosomal RNA", at positions 28 to 524 of the family's 1533-position model. The record is from RNAcentral.
GAUGAACGCUAGCGGGAGGCUUAACACAUGCAAGUCGAGGGGUAAAAUUCAGCAAUGGAUUGAGACCGGCGGACGGGUGCGUAACGCGUAUGCAACAUACCUUGUGCAGGGGGAUAGCCCGUGGAAACGCGGAUUAAUAUUCCAUAGAUCAGUAAUAUCGCAUGGUAUAACUGGUAAAGAUGAGUCGGCACAAGAUUGGCAUGCGUCUGAUUAGCUAGUUGGUAGGGUAACGGCCUACCAAGGCGACGAUCAGUAACUGGUGUGAGAGCACGACCAGUCACACGGGCACUGAGAUACGGGCCCGACUCCUACGGGAGGCAGCAGUAAGGAAUAUUGGUCAAUGGACGCAAGUCUGAACCAGCCAUGCCGCGUGAAGGAUGAAGGUCCUCUGGAUUGUAAACUUCUUUUAUUAGGGACGAAAUCUCCGGUUUCUACUGGGGUUGACGGUACCUAAGGAAUAAGCACCGGCUAACUCCGUGCCAGCAGCCGCGGUAAA